This 964-nucleotide small RNA is filed under the name Spiroplasma mirum. RNAcentral's name for it is "bacterial LSU rRNA". The stretch from base 463 to 964 matches the Rfam family "Bacterial large subunit ribosomal RNA", at positions 1 to 501 of the family's 2925-position model. Lineage: Bacteria; Bacillati; Mycoplasmatota; Mollicutes; Entomoplasmatales; Spiroplasmataceae. The record is from RNAcentral.
UACACACCGCCCGUCACACCAUGAGAGUUGGUAAUGCCAGAAGUCGGUAUCCUAACCGCAAGGAGGGAGCUGCCCAAGGCAGGACUGAUGAUUAGGGUGAAGUCGUAACAAGGUAUCCGUACCGGAAGGUGCGGAUGGAUCACCUCCUUUCUAUGGAGUUUAAAUACUUCUAAGUAUUAAGGCUUUAGUGAUGUGUUAUGUUUAGUUUUGAGAGGUUAGUUCUCUCAGAUAGUAAUAAAAUCAAUACUCGUCAAACAGUAUUUUUAAAUUGCUAUGAAUUGUUCUUUGAAAACUGGAUAAUAGACAUCUAGUUAUAUAAAUUUAUUUAUAUAACAAAUUAACAAUCAAAUUUCUGUUAUUUUUAAAAUUAACUUUUAAAACUGAAAUUUCACAGUUAUCUAUUUGUAAAUGAUUCUCAAAACAAAAAAACCUUUGGUUAUUUAAACCAAUUGAUUGAUCAAAUUUGAAGUUACAAAGGGCGUAUGGUGAAUGCCUUGGGAAUAGGAGACGAUGAAGGACGCGACUACCUGCGAUAAGGUUCGGGGAGCUGGAAGUAAGCUUUGAUCCGGACAUUUCCGAAUGGGGAAACCCGGUGAGAUUAAUCUCCCAUCAUCCUAUAAUGAAUACAUAGUUAUAGUGAAGGUAUACCUAGGGAAUUGAAACAUCUCAGUACCUAGAGGAAAAGAAAGCGAAUGCGAUUCUCUUAGUAGCGGCGAGCGAAAGGGGAACAAGCCCAAACCAGAUUUAUCUGGGGUUGUAGGACCAUAUUAGUAGAGUUACAAAACUUGUUUAUAGUAGAAAUGGUUGGGAAACCAUGCCACAGAGGGUGAUAGCCCCGUAUACGAAAUAAACAAGUCUCGAAAUGGGAUCCUGAGUACGGCGAGACACGUGAAAUCUUGUCGGAAUCCACGCGGACCACCGCGUAAGGCUAAAUACUACCUAUUCACCGAUAGUGAACCAGUAC